CAGCAAUGGCUCAUCUGAAGCUUCUUCUUCUUCUGUGUGUUGGCAUCACAGUCAGCACAGGAGUAGAUUUGCACAAAAGGAUCUAUGGAGGCCAAAAGUGUCCAGACACUGAGCGUCAGUAUCACGUGAAACUAAAGGCAACCAGUGCAACACAUGAAAGUCUCUGUGGUGGCUCACUGAUCCAUGAACGGUGGAUUCUGACUGCAGCCCACUGCUGGAAAAAUGAACCUGGAUGGGAUAUGUAUGCAACUUUAGGAGUUCAUCCAAGUCCAUGG
Maylandia zebra (zebra mbuna) is the source of this 275-nucleotide non-coding RNA. The record is from RefSeq and is a predicted model, not a curated record. NCBI's taxonomy places the organism in Eukaryota, Metazoa, Chordata, Actinopteri, Cichliformes, Cichlidae.